GCCAGGCACAGUGGUGCGUGCCUGCAGUCCCAGCUACUCAGGAGGCUGAGGCGGGAGAAUCUCUGAGCCCAGGAGUUCUGGGCUGUAGUGCGCUAUGCCGAUCGGGUGUCCACACCAAGUUCAGCAUCAACAUGGUGACCUCCCGGGAGCAGGGGACCACCAGAUUGCCUAAGGAGGGGUGAACUGGCCCAGGUCAGAAACAGAGCAGGUCAAAACUCCCAUGCUGAUCAGUAGUGGGAUCACACCUGUGAAUAGCCACUGCACUCCAGCCUGGGCAACAUAGCGAGAUCCCGUCUCU
This 298-nucleotide signal recognition particle RNA is filed under the name Cebus imitator (Panamanian white-faced capuchin). Its description in RNAcentral is "Metazoan signal recognition particle RNA (ENSCCAG00000010212.1)". It matches the Rfam family "Metazoan signal recognition particle RNA". Rfam says of the family: The signal recognition particle (SRP) is a universally conserved ribonucleoprotein. It is involved in the co-translational targeting of proteins to membranes. Lineage: Eukaryota; Metazoa; Chordata; Mammalia; Primates; Cebidae. The record is from RNAcentral.